Molecule: ribosomal RNA, 460 nt
Filed under: uncultured bacterium
Lineage: Bacteria
Description: partial 16S ribosomal RNA
Rfam family: Bacterial small subunit ribosomal RNA
Source: RNAcentral
CCUACGGGAGGCAGCAGUGAGGAAUAUUGGUCAAUGGACGAGAGUCUGAACCAGCCAAGUAGCGUGAAGGAUGACUGCCCUAUGGGUUGUAAACUUCUUUUAUAUGGGAAUAAAAUGUUCCACGUGUGGGUUUUUGUAUGUACCAUAUGAAUAAGGAUCGGCUAACUCCGUGCCAGCAGCCGCGGUAAUACGGAGGAUCCGAGCGUUAUCCGGAUUUAUUGGGUUUAAAGGGAGCGUAGGUGGAUUGUUAAGUCAGUUGUGAAAGUUUGCGGCUCAACCGUAAAAUUGCAGUUGAUACUGGCAGUCUUGAGUACAGUAGAGGUGGGCGGAAUUCGUGGUGUAGCGGUGAAAUGCUUAGAUAUCACGAAGAACUCCGAUUGCGAAGGCAGCUCACUGGACUGCAACUGACACUGAGGCUCGAAAGUGUGGGUAUCAAACAGGAUUAGAUACCCGAGUAGUC